This 492-nucleotide ribosomal RNA is filed under the name uncultured bacterium. RNAcentral describes it as "bacterial SSU rRNA". It matches the Rfam family "Bacterial small subunit ribosomal RNA", at positions 28 to 505 of the family's 1533-position model. The record is from RNAcentral.
GAUGAACGCUAGCGACAGGCUUAACACAUGCAAGUCGAGGGGUAACAGGGUAGCAAUACCGCUGACGACCGGCGCACGGGUGAGUAACGCGUAUGCAACCUGCCUAUAACUGGGGAAUAGCUCCCUGAAAGGGGAAUUAACACCGCAUAAACACUAUUGACUUCGCAUGGAUUGGUAGUUAAAUGUAGCGAUACAGGUUAUAGAUGGGCAUGCGUGACAUUAGCUAGUUGGUGAGGUAACGGCUCACCAAGGCUACGACGUCUAGGGGUUCUGAGAGGAAGGUCCCCCACACUGGUACUGAGACACGGGACCAGACUCCUACGGGAGGCUAGCAGUGAGGAAUAUUGGUCAAUGGGCGCAAGCCUGAACCAGCCAUGUCGCGUGCAGGAAGACUGCCCUAAUGGGUUGUAAACUGCUUUUAUAGUUAGAAGAAACACAAUCUAACGUGUAGAUGUCUGCCAGUAUACUAUGAAUAAGCAUCGGCUAACUCCG